RNAcentral lists this small RNA (636 nucleotides) under Cryptococcus neoformans H99. RNAcentral's name for it is "Cryptococcus neoformans var. grubii H99 hypothetical RNA". Lineage: Eukaryota; Fungi; Basidiomycota; Tremellomycetes; Tremellales; Cryptococcaceae. The record is from RNAcentral.
GUCGUACAUAUGUAUGUACCAGCUACGGCUUCGUUAUUAUCAACGUCAACCAGCCUUCAACUCAAAAAUUACCACACGCCCAAACUCAUGAAAGCAUAAGGCUUCUAUUCCAAUCGAAGUUCACCAUUUCCUUCCCUCCGAGAUGCGUGACUUCCUCUGGGAGCAGUGUCAAGGGGCUACCUCUUCUGGCGAUUGCCUUCAACAGGUCAGAGUUUUAAAUGAUCUGUUGUCCUCUCUCAGCAUCUUUUCAUCUUCUCCAAACGCUGUUCUCUUCCGGCAUUGGCCUGACGACCUUAUCUACGGGGACCCCAGACCAUUUGAGGACUCUAACCUGUUGAAGGCUAUCACCAGGAGAAGUAGCCCCUUGACAAGCAGAAACCUGUUUCUUAGGUCAUGUUGAUCCAUAAGAUGCGCUGUAAGUUUUUUUGUACAUUCAUCAUAAACUGGCAAUGUCUCUUCUCCAAUUAAUUGCACGUUCUUUGACUGGCGAGUGAGAGGAAAUAUCGCUCUGUCGAUUUUGAGGUCCUGAGGGGGGAUAUCUCCCGCAAAAUGGUGAUGAACAUAAGGCCAUUCAUAGUUAGCAGCAGACUCGCCUGAUGUUUAAUUUUACUGUGGAUUAAUGUACAAGCCUGACUG